RNAcentral lists this long non-coding RNA (22263 nucleotides) under Capsicum annuum. RNAcentral's name for it is "long non-coding RNA (CANN_LNC005494)". Lineage: Eukaryota; Viridiplantae; Streptophyta; Magnoliopsida; Solanales; Solanaceae. The record is from RNAcentral.
UGGAAAACCCAUCCAUUUAGAUACGGCUACUUUAAAUAAGACAAGACCAAGUUGUGCUAGUGUUAGGGUACAUGUGGAUUUACUUACUGAUCUACUCUCAUUUGUAGAGAUGGAGAUAUUGAAUUCAAAUAAUGGUGAAUCUAAAAUAGAGUGUGAAGAUUCAAUAUGAUUUUUUUUACCUAAGUAUUACAAGAAGUGUUUGUUAAAAGGACUCAAUGAACUUGAUUGUAGGGUACUAUAUCCUGAGCAAAAAUAGGUGGUUAAAGCAAAUAUGAAUAAUCCAUUAAAUAAUCCUCAUAAUGCAGUAGAUAGCAGUGAUAAAAGAAAAAGACAAGGAUAUCAGUAGAAUCUACUAAAUCAGUGGCAUCUUACAAGUAGAAGAUUUCCUAAUAAAGGGUACCAAGAUGAUAAAUCUAUCUAACCUGAGAAAAUAGAUACUGUUAACAAAUUCAAUGCUCUAACUGAGGAAAUUAAGAAGAACCUGCAGUAUAAUAACAAAAGUAUUAGAUCAGAGAAUAAGAAGAAUGAUGCUAUUAAUAUUAGAGAAGGGACAAAGGGGAUGUCGACAAAAGAUUGGGUCACCAAGUCUUUCCAUCAACAAGAUGGAUCAGUUCUUCCAAGGAUCUUGGAUCAAGAGGAACCUGCCGAAAAGAAGAACAUUAGAUUGGAGCAAAUUCAGCCAUUUACUAGACGUAAUGUUAAAAAUAUAGAAGUAAGGGGUAAGAAUCAGGAAAGCCAGUAUAUCUAGAAGAGUCCCAAAAGUAAUGUUAGUGCUGUUAAUUUAUCCUCCAAAAAUAAUAAGUCUAAUGAAUCUAUUGUUUUGGAGAAGGGAGAUGUUAAUCAGGAAGAGGUAUCUAAUAAGAGUUUAGAUAUUGUGGACAUUCCUUUAGCUAUGGAAGAGCCCGUGGAUACAGUGUGGACUGGAGAUUCAGUUCAACCCAAUUCAACACUUUAUGAUAUAAUUACUCAUCAGUUUGAUAGAGUAGAGGGAGUUGUAGGUCUGUUAUAAUAGAGCAAGGAAGAAAUUCCUAAUGAGAACUUAGAUGAGAAGAUUUUAAAAGAUGCAGAUAUUUCUCCCAGAAUUAAUAAAGUGAUUAAGCAAGUAAAGAGAAAUAAGAAGUAGCAUGUUAGUGAAAAUUCUGUGCCUAGCAGAACUCGGCCUAAAAGGAGGAGUGUCAACUAUUCUAAUAAGAAAUGAUGAAAGAACUUGUGAGGAAUAUUAGAUCAAUGAAGUCCCAACAGGCUUUCUGGAGAGUACAAAUGUUGAAAAUAGGGUACAUUAGUUUUCUUUUGUAGCUUUAUUGGAACCAUUUCAGCAUGUCAGAAACUUUAUUAAGUACAGAGGUAGGUUGCAGAUGCCAUAUAUGUUUCAUAACUGCAAUGGUAAUAAUGAUUUCAAUGCCAUAAUUGAGAGUGAUAUUGAACAACAUCUCUCUUUGCUGAUUCAUAAUUAAUCCAUGGGAAUAGAUUUCAUGCUGACAAUUGUAUAUGCUAGAUGUGAUAAGUAUGAAAGGUUGGAAUUAUGGGACAAUAUCUUUGCCAUUGCCAAUAGAGUUUCAAGCCCUUGGCUCAUGAGAGGUAAUUUUAAUACAAUUCUUAAUGCUUCAAAAAAGAUAGGUGUAGUGUCAGUUAGUGCAGAAAAUGUAGAGUACUUUAGAGAUUGUAUUGAAUCUUGUGAAUUGACACAAAUUAUUCAUAAAGUCAGUCCCUUUACUUGGUGGAAUGGAAGAGCUGGAAGGCUUGUAUAUUUGAAAAACUGGAUAGGUUAUUUGUUAAUGAAGAGUUUUAGAAAAGGUUUAAUUCGCUAGAGGUGGAACAUCUAGCCAGAGAUGGAUCUGAUCAUGCUCCUUUAUUAUUAACUUAUGGAAAUUCUUAGAAUAUGGUUCAGAAGCAAUUCAAAUUCUUGAACUUUUGGACAUAUCAUUCAAAAUUUAAAGAAGUUGUUACAAGGAACUGGGAUUAUGAUUAUUUAGAAAAUCCUUUUAAUGACUUUAAAAGGAAGAUAAAAAAGUCAAAAAGCUCUGUCUAUAUGGAACAAAAAGUCUUUUGGAGACAUGUUUCAACAACUGAUUAUUAGAGAGGAGAUUGCUAAGGUGAAAGAAAAACUAUUUUAGAAAAACCCAACUGCAGUGAAUAGAACUAUGAUUUAGAAGGCUAGAGUUGACUAUUUGAAGUAUCUUAAACUGGAGGAAAGAUAUUAGCAACAGAAAGUAGGGUAUUACUGGUUUGAAAGUGGAGAAAGAAAUAUUAAGUUUUUUUUCAUAGCAUUGUAAAAGGGAGAAAAAAUAAGAUGAAAAUCUCUUUCUUGAUGAGAAUGGUUACUAGUUAAAAGAUGAAGGCCAAAUUGCUGAGGAGGCAAUAAAAUUCUAUCAAAAAUAAUUCACACAAAAAAGAGAUACAACUAAAUUUCCAUUAUUGAAGAAUAUCCUAGAGAUAAUUACUAAGAAGGAAAAUGAGAUGAUGCAGGCCAUUCUGGAUGAGCUAGAGAUUAAAGAGGUAAUUUUCAAGUUAAAUGGAAACAGUGCUAGUGGACCAGAUGGACUAAUAGAAAGAUUUUUCAGGUUUUCUGAGAUAUCAUUGGUGGAGAUUUGAUGAGGUUGGUUAAGAGUUUGUUUGCAGGUAAUAUCCUCCCAAAAUCUAUUACUCAUACUAAUUUGAUUCUCAUUCCUAAAAAGGAUGAUGUGUAGUCCUUUUCAGAUUUGAAACCUAUUAGUCUUAGUACUUUAAUCAAUAAAAUCCUGUCUAGGAUUAUUCAUGAUAGAUUGGAGGGUAUUCUACCAAAUCUGAUAUCUCCUAAUCAGUCAGGUUUUGUUAAAGGAAGAAGUAUUAUUGAAAAUGUACUGCUAGCUCAAAAACUGAUUACUUAUAUAGGGAAGAGAGGAAAACCUUCUAAUGUAGUAUUGAAUCUUGACAUAGCUAAAACCUAUGAUAUGGUUUCAUGGUUUUUAUUAAUGAAGGAUUUAAGAAAAAUAGGUUUUUCUAAUGCAGUGGUGUAACCCCCCCGAAAAAUGGGUUCCGAGACGUCACACGGUGCUUAGGAACACAAGUGAUCCUAAGCUAACCCUUGUACUGGCAUACUGCUAAGCAACUGAUUUACACAUGUAUAAAAUGACUGAAGUUACUGUGCAGAAAUAUAAUCAUGAUGAAAUCUAGAAAAAAAUACAAUACUGAUACAAUUUUACAUUCUGAUAAAACCGAAGAGCAGAACUGAAAUUACAUGACUGACAUCUGUGAAGCCUCUACUAUACUGAAUAUAGAUAGCUGGGACGCGAAUCCAACUACCACUAAUCAAUACAUAUGAGUAAGAAAGUAAAAUACAUAAAUAAUAUCUAACUGAAGUCCCCGAAGUAUGAGGACUUAUCAUCUGCUGGCUGGAAUCUGCAACUGUCUGAUCGUGAUAUAUGGACUACAAUGGAAUUGUUACCUACAUUAUUAAACAAUGUAGCACAUAGACGUAUAUGUGGAUCAGUACUUUUGAAAUGUACUGAGCAUAUGGGGGUGAAUGCAUAAGUAAAACAAUAUCUCAAUGUUUGUAUAAACUUAUAAAAUAAUGCAUGCUAAGUAUAAAUGACUCACAUUGGCUAGAAUAACUAAAAGAUGAAAAUCAUGAAUCAUGAAUGAUAAAACAUACUGUAUAAAUCUUGUGAGUCAUAACACUUAGUUCUAAAAGCUAUACUUUUACUCUUUCUGCUAGUGGACUAAGUAAAAUUGAAGUUAAGUCUAUUUUCAAAUCAUACAGGCUAAGUGAAAAAGGACUCACCUUUGUAUCUGUAAACUAAAAGAUGAAAUCUCAUAGAUAAUGACUUAUGUAAAACAAUAUCUGCAUAAAAUUGUGAGCCUUUACACUUGGUUUCUAAAAGUUAUUCUAUUAGUCUAUUUUAGGACUUAGGCUUUAGGGAGGUUCUUUUAACCGACAUACACUAUGUGAGCUAUCAUAGUGUCCAACGUCUAGUUUCUCUAAGGGGAAAAUCUCACGUUAGGGAGAGAUUUCAUACUCUUACCAAGGAGUAUAACCUGAGCUAAGUGAUCAUAAUCUGUAUCUGUAUCCAUAUACAAAUUGAAUAUAAUCUGAAUUUGUACCUACAUUGGCUCGUAGUUCUAGAAAAGUAGGAUGUGCUAAACCCACACUUCCCACUCGGUGCUAAAUACUACUCUCUUUAAUCUGUAUGCUCAAUCUGUAGGAAAUCCACUUUAAAACUAGCAUGAGGGUUUACUAUGAAAACCAGUUAUGCAUCUGUUUACUUUAAACUGUAAUCAAAUCUGUAAAGUGGAUUCCAUAACUAAACUGAGGAUCAAAAGAUCAAAUCUUGUUCAACAUCUGAGUAUAAACUAAUCAUAUGAUGCUUGAAUGCAUAAUAUUUUUGAAAUAUCAAUAUUUAAUCUAGGGUUUAAUAACCAUGCUUUAAAUUUAUGUCAAAUCAAAAUAAUACUUCAUGCUCAAUAAUCUUCUUGAAAUACUUCAAUAAUUUCAGUCAAGAUAAUGAAAUCAAAAUUCCAAUAUGAAUAUUAUGGAUCAAAACAUGAGCAUGCAAAAUCUUGAUGCACUAAAGACUUUGAAUCUCAUGCUUUCUGUCAUAUAACUUGCAACAUAAUAUCAUGCUUAAAUCUUAAUUGAAAAUCUUUAAAUCAAGCAUAAAUAGAGGAGAACAAGCAUGUACUUUUACACAUAAAUCAAUUUUCAAAUCCAUAAACUCAAAACAAGAUAAGUUGGGUAUGAACCCUAAUUGUAAUAUACGUAAAUUCAACUUUAAAAACUAGUUUUGGGCACAAAGAUGAAAGAGUAUCCUUGUUCAUAACCCCACAUACCUUAUUUGAUAAAUUGAAUCUGAAAGCUUGAACUUUGAAUCUCUAAUGAUGUUCUUGAAGCUUAUUCUUGAAGUUCUUGAACCCGGAUGCUUGGAUUAUUAACUUUCUUGGAGAAAAUUUGGUAGAGUUCUUGGUGUUCUUGAAGGGGCUAGGGUUUUCUUAGAGAGAAAGAGAUGAAUUAUGAUGUAUCUAAUACUUUUGGAGAUGAAAUUAAGUGUUAUGGACGGAUUUGGGUGAGGGUAAGUGACCAAAGUGCCCCUAGACCCUUUAGGAACUGAAAUAGUGUGUAAAACAGUUCCGUAAUAGGAUUACCAUUGUGUCGAUGAUCAACGCGUCGCGUCCCUAUCUCGUCGACUUACUGCCUCACAUGAAAAAUGCCAUAAAUUUUUGCUCGGGUAUCAGAUUAAGGCAAAAUUGGUAUUGUUGGAAAGAUAAUUCAAUUAUCUACAAUUUGGUGGGUCUUGAGCUUCAAAAUUCUAUGUAUAUAAAAAGUUAUACAUGUUCAAAGUAUACCCUUGUAGAAUCGAAUAUCAACUUUUGACGAAUCAAAGGCUCUAAGCUUAACUUCUUGAAGGGGCUAGGGUUUUCUUAGAGAGAAAGAGAUGAAUUAUGAUGUAUCUAAUACUUUUGGAGAUGAAAUUAAGUGUUAUGGACGGAUUUGGGUGAGGGUAAGUGACCAAAGUGCCCCUAGACCCUUUAGGAACUGAAAUAGUGUGUAAAACAGUUCCGUAAUAGGAUUACCAUUGUGUCGAUGAUCAACGCGUCGCGUCCCUAUCUCGUCGACUUACUGCCUCACAUGAAAAAUGCCAUAAAUUUUUGCUCGGGUAUCAGAUUAAGGCAAAAUUGGUAUUGUUGGAAAGAUAAUUCAAUUAUCUACAAUUUGGUGGGUCUUGAGCUUCAAAAUUCUAUGUAUAUAAAAAGUUAUACAUGUUCAAAGUAUACCCUUGUAGAAUCGAAUAUCAACUUUUGACGAAUCAAAGGCUCUAAGCUUAACUUUGUUCCAAGUGAUUCUUACAAACAUUUUUCUCCUUGAAUACACAUCAAACACGAGGAUAAAGAUCAUGAAACUUAUAUUCACAUGGUAAUCAUUUGGAUUAUAGAUCAUACACAUAGGAAUGACGGUUCAAAGACUAGCCCAAAAAUACAGUGUAUUACAUUAUCUCCCCCUUGGUAACAUUCGUCCUCGAAUGAGGCUAAUUGGACUGAGGGUACUAAGGCAACUAUGAUUAUAUUCUAAACAUGCAUGACUGAAAACAUGAUUGCAUAACUACUCCUGAAACAUGAUACAUGAACUGAACUAAUUUCUUGACUACAUGCAAUGACAUGAGAAUGGUUAUAAGGCUGAGAUAGGAACGAGAAAGUAGACUUGUGAGUAACUAUUACUUUAGACUGGAUCUAGUUUCGUGAAGAAAAGAUGAAAGGUUUAGGACAUGAAUGCUCGGGGUAUUACAAUACAUUUCUCCCUUGGGAUAUUUUGUCCCCAAAUAAUACUGACUUGGCUGAAAUACUAAGGAAAGAUAGAGAUGAUGCACGGGACACUUACAGACUGAAUCAUAACUGAAUAUCUAGAAUUUGAAACUGAUGCAUGAUGCAUGAAUUGAUCUAAAUUCACAAAUUACAUGGAUACGAACAAACUACCUGUUGAAAUGGCCAUAUUCAUGAGACUUCAGAUAGUAAGACUAGAUGGAAAGUUGGAAAUCUAUAGGAGCUUAUCUGAUUGACUGCUAAACGGGAUUGCAGGCUAUAUGGACUGGAUCAUACUGACUGCCCAUACUCAAAUGUAGUAUUUCUUCAACACUCUUCUACGAAAUUCUAAUAAUAUUAGAGAGUGAAGAAUCUUGGACAUAAUCUAAAUUAGACAUCUGACUAAGAAAUCACAACCUUGAUACAAUUCUAUAGCUUAGAACAUAGGCAUAUAAAUCGUAAGCUAGGAUACAAUUACUAGGCCUUAAGCAAUGCAACUUCUUACUUUCAAGCUUAGCAACACUUCUCAAAUACUCCUUCAACUAUGCUAUUCCCCUUAAAUACCAGAUUCAUUGAUUCAACUUCUAAUUCUCACAUGGUCGUUCAUAAAUCCAUCCAAAUAGGUCUUAAACCUCACCCAAAAAAUCUGAAACUUACACGAUAUGUGCUAUCAACAACUUCGAUCAUGAAUUCACUUAAAGAUUUCAUUCCAAGGCCGAGAAGGUCGGAAACUAAUGUGUACUACAUUCACCCACUUAUACACAAACAUGAUAUUCAAGCCUAUUGUUAUAACCACAUAUGAACGUCUAAACAAACACCCAUAAUAGCAUACUCCUCAUAUUCUCUAAACCUCUAUCACAACAACUCCCAUGCACUACCCCAAGAACAUAUACACACAAAUUUCAACUAACCACAACAUGUAUCAAAGAGUUAGCCUCAAUCUUAUUUCACACUUAUGGACUUAGCUAAAACAAGCAUACAAUGAUCUUUCAUCAACAAGAAAUAUUUACUCAUCACUACUAUCAUUACAUAAGGAGGGGUCACUGAAAUGUUAGAACAUGAGACCUUGAAGCAUGGAAGGAUACUAUACAUAACUUGACACUUAAAUGAGGCCUGAGGAAUAGAGGAUCAACAUCAUGAAUUUAUCAAAGAGAUCUGAAUUAAGGGCAUACAUGGCUAUAAGCUAAAUCUUGCUGAUCAUUAGGAGUGUAGCAUGAGUUAUGGGAACUGAGAAUAUUAUAAAGCAUGACUACAUAAGUCAUGAGCUACAUGACCUGAGUUUGGAGUUCAUAAAUUCCUGGAAGAUGAUUCGAAUUGCUGAAUGAAAUGGAACUCCUCAUACUAGGGACUAGGAGAAUACAUGAUUUUCUAUGAUAUUCAUGAACAAAACUAUGAUCAUGGAGAUGACACACAAGGCAUGAGUAGAUAUCCUGAUGACCGAAGUACUAAUACUGAAAUAAGAAUGAGCUGGGCAUCUUUUUCCCACACUGGCAGCACAACUAGAAUCUGACUUGGUUAGUUAUCCUAUAGUCUCCCCCUUAGCUUUAAGACAUCAUUUUAAGUCUGUGGAGACCCUUUACUAAAUUCUAACUGAACUGCAACCACUUUACUCUAGAGCCUGGGAUAUAACAAUACAUGUGAAUAAUAGAACUUAACCCGAAAGACUACACCUAAAAGUGUAAAACCCACUGCUCAUACUUCCUUCUGAGAUACAACUCUCUAUUUCUAUAGCCUCAAUAGUUAUCAUAUAAUACUUGAACACGUAAUAACUUAGAAUCUUCAUGAGUAUCCCCAUAGCCGGAGUGAACACCAUCUAGUGCUUCAACUCUUAUUUUUAUUAGCUCAAUCUUCAAAGACUCAAACUUAGAUUCUAACACUUAACAUGGAUAUCACCAAAUAUUUAAUGAGCCAUAUUACUUCCAUCAUAGCCCAUCAAUAUCAUCCCUCUAAAAUUAUAUUUCUAAAUCAUGAGAAUCAAGAUCAUAUCAAAAGGCUCAACAUCAUCAAUCAUAACUCCUUAACUUGGCUAUUAAGAACACCAUGCACUAUAUAGCUAGCCUUUUUCUACUUAGCAACUCAAGGGUACUACUAACCACACACAACACUUAAUAACCUUAGAAAAUAAUGCAAUCCCAUAUCACCUUGGGCACACCUCUACAUCAUAUCUACAACAUCAUACUUAAUCUCAAAUCAAUAAACUUAAAUUCUUGCAUUCACCGUUUCAAGCCUAUUGGUUCACCUCCAUAUAACUAAUAUCACUAACCAAGCAACCAUUACAUCAACCUUGAUGAUCAUCCAGUGUUCAACUUAGUGUCUAGGGAUAGGCAUGAUUAACAAUCCAACCUCACAUACUAUUCUCCCUAGAAAGCUAUAAAAUAAGACAUUAAGAAAUACUAGUCCACUAGAACCCCAUAAUAACAAUAAUUGAUCACGAACGUAUGGCCUAUCUUAUUAUAAUCCAUUAGCACAUCCUCCCUCUACACAUCACUACUAUUCACCCAUCUAUACACCUAAAUUUUUUUCAUAGUUCUAUAAGUUUCAACUAAACUCCUUUUUGCAAUCUCAAGGGAAGCCUAAAUUAACAAUACUAAACCACUAAAUACUUCAUUAAUAAUCUAUACUUUUCUAACACAAUAAUUACCAUUAAUAACUCCUUUCAUACUUGAAGCAAACAAUAAUUCACCUUAACUAAUAACUCCUUCUCUACCUUCUACUAAACUAACACACCAGGACAUAUCACCAUAAUGUAAAAUCUAUAGCAUACAUAAGUUUUAUAUCAAUAAUUUAUAUCAAUCAUCAUUCCCACUUUUCUUGUCACAACACUUCUAUACCCAUACUUCAAACUAUAAGAAGGUUCUAUUACUUAUGAAUCAUUACACUCCAGGUUGCAAUAUCCCUCAAAUUCAAACUCUAUUCAACAAUCUAGGUUCAUACUAUCUCCUCUUAUGAGCACUAUCUGUAUUGAAGGAAUAAUGAGAAAUUUGAAUGCAUAUCUUAUUCUACCUCAACUGAACAACUCAUAUGGAUGAGGGACAUAAAUUUUGAUUUGAGGAAAUUAUAACACACUAGUGAGCUCCUCUCAAGCCCCAUGUAUGACUUCUGAAGUUACUGAUAGUAAAUCUGAUAGCAUCAUCUUAGGAUGAAUUGGAACUUUCUAAUCAUGUGAUCUCAAGAAUAUGACAUAGAUGGAGAAUUAUGGAGUGACACAUGAAUCGACAGAAGUUUCUGAGAGAACUUUAAAGCACGAUCUAGAGUAUGAAAGAAAGAAAAAUUUUCUUAAAUUCCCUGUAGCCUCUCAAAGAAAAGUACAGACGUCUUCGUACUAUUUUUUAAGAAUCUACUAGACAUGGAUUCACAGACACCCUAGGACACUUGAAUCUUGGGCUCUGAUACCAAGUUUGUAACGCCCCAAAAUGGGUCCCGAGAUGUCACACGGUGCUUAGGACCAUAAGUGAUCCUAAGCUAACCCUUGUACUGGUAUACUGCUAAGCAACUAUUUUACACAUGUAUAAAAUGACUGAAGUUACUAUACGGAAAUAUAAUCAUGAUGAAAUCUAGAAAAAAAAUACAACACUAAUAUAAUUUUACAUUCUGAUGAAACUAAAGAGCAGAACUGAAAUUACAUGAUUGACUAUGACUAACAUCUGUGAAGCCUAUACUAUAAUGACUAUAGAUGGCUAGGAUGCGACUAAAACUACCACUAAUUAAUACAUAUGAGUAAGAAAGUAAAGUACAUAAAUAACGUCUAACUAAAGUCCCCGAACUAGGAGGACUCAUCAUCUGCUGGCUGGAAUCUGCAACUGUCUAAUCGUGAUAUAUGGACUACAACUGAACUGGUACCUACAUUAUUAGACAAUGUAGCACAUAGAACUAUAUGUGGAUCAUUACUUUUGAAAUAUACUGAGCAUAUGAGGGUGAAUGCAUAAGUAAGAUAAUAUAUCAAUGUUCGUAUAAACUUGUAAAAUAAUGCAUGCUAAGUAUAAAUGACUCAUAUUGGCUAGAAUAACUGAAAGAUGAAAAUCAUGAAUCAUGAAUGAUAAAACAUACUGUAUAAAUCUUGUGAGUCAUAACACUUAGUUCUAAAAGCUGUAUUUUUACUCUUUCUGCUAGUGGACUAAGUAGAAUUGAAGUUAAGUCUAUUUUCAAAUCAUACAGGCUAAGUGAAAAUGGACACACCUUUGUAUCUAUAAACUAAAAGCUGAAAUCUCAUAGCUAAUAACUUAUGUAAAACAAUAUUUGCAUAAAAUUGUAAGCCUUUACACUUAGGGGCCAUUUGGUGUGAGGUACUAAGACAAGUUAUCCCGGAAUAAAAUAAUAGUCCCGGGAUAAACUUUUUAAUACACCGUUUGGUUUGGCAAUAGUUGGGAUAACAUCCCGGGAUUAAUAAUAGUCCCUGGAUAAGUUAUACCACAUAUUUGGUGGUAUAAGUUAUCCCACCUUAAUUUAUCCCGGGAUAAAUUAUAAAAUGACAAAAAUAUCCUAAAUCCAUUACAAACACAUUUCUCCAAUCUUUUUCAUUAUCUUUAAUCAUUGCUUUUGAAAUUGAAAAAAAAUUAUUGAUAUCUACUUGAUUAUCUAAAACGUGUUAUUUAUGACAAAUUAAAAAGACUAAAAUAUCUUAUUUUGGAACGAAGGAAAUAUAUGACUAAGAAAAAUUAGCCUCUUAUUAAUUAAACUUUACAUUUUUUUUCAUUUCAUUGCUUGUGAAUUUUAUAAACUUAUACACUAUUUUCUUAUAUACAACAACAACAAACCCAGUGUAUUCCCACAUAGUGGGGUCUGGGGAGGGUAAGAUGUACGCAGUCCAUACUACUACCUCCGAUGAGGUAGAGAGGCUGUUUUCGAUAGAUCCCCAGCUCACGACACGCGAUACUAAUUAAAUCUGAAAUAAAGCAUGGGAAAGAUGAAAAUACAUAACUAAUCCACCCACAAAGUAUAAUUAACAAAUAAUAGUAAACAAAUACGUAAUAAGGCAUGAAACAAUGUGGCAUAACAAGAAAAGUUCACCCAUCCAGUAUUGCCCUACCUCAAUGACCCAAACUAUCACUAACCUUCUAUCCUGAUUUGCGUCCUCCAGAUCUUCCUAUAUAGGGUCAUGUCCUCAGUGAGUUGCAACUUCUCCAUGUCCUACCUAAUGACCUCUUUCCAGUAUUUCUUCGGUCUACCCCUACCCCACUUAAAUCCAUCCAAUGCUAGACGCUCACUACUAUGAAGCGGGGUAUCCGUUCCCCUCCUUAUCACGUGCCCGAACCAUCUCAAUCGAACUUCCCAGAUCUUGUCCUCCACUGAAGCCCCUUCAAUUUUUUCCUGAAUGGUCUCAUUCCGAACUCUAUCAGCCCUAGUAAUCCCACACAUCCAAUGCAACAUCCUCAUUUUUGUCACCUUCAAUUUUUGGAUGUGAGAGUUUUUGACUGGCCAAUACUCCGCUCCAUACAACAUGGUCAGACGAAAUACCACCCUAUAGAAUUUGCCUUUAAGCUUGGGCGGCACCUUCCUAUCACAUAACACCCAUGAGGUGAGCUUCCACUUCAUCCAUCCCGCCCUAAUAUGGUAGGAGACAUCCUCGUCAAUCUUACCAUUUCCCUGAAUCAUGGACCUAAGAUACUUAAAACUACCCCUCUUGCAAACUGCAUGGGAAUCCAACCUUACUACCAAGUCGUCCUCCUGCCUGAACUCAUUAAACUUGCAUUCCAAAUACUCUAUCUUGGUCCUACUCAACCUGAACCCUUUAGACUCAAGGGUCUGUCGCCACACCUCUAGUUUAUCAUUCACACACCCUCGCGUCUCAUCAAUCAAAACUACAUCGUCUGUAAAAAGCAUAGACCAAGGUACCUCUCCUUGAAUACGCCGCAUCAACACAUCCAACACCAAAGCAAACAAAAUCGGGCUAAGAGUAGAUCCCUGAUGUAGCCCUGUCAAGACAGGGAAAUGCUCUGAAUCUCCUCCCGCUGUCCUAAAUUGUGUCUUAGCUCCAUCAUACAUAUCCUUGAUUGCUCUGAUAUACACCAUCAGGACCCCACUCACCUCCAAGCAUCUCCGAAGAACCUUUCUAGGGACUUUUUCGUACGCCUUCUCCAAGUCGAUAAACACCAUGCAGGUCUUUCUUCAUUUCUCUAUACUGUUCUACCAAUCUUCGCACCAGAUGAAUUUCCUCUAUCGUCGAGCGCUCAGGCAUAAAUCCUAACUGGUUCUCUGAGAUAGUCACUAACCUCCUUAACCUCAACUCAACCACUCUCUCCUAAAUCUUCAUAGUGUGGCUCAAUAAUUUUAUCCCUCUAUAGUUGUUGCAACUCUAAAUGUCGCCCUUGUUCUUAUAUAACGGGAUCAUAGUACUCUAUCUCCAAGCCUCGGGUAUUUUUUUUGACUUGAAAAUGCCGUUAAUCAAAAUAGUCAACCAUCGCAAGCCGGUCUCGCCAGAAAACUUCCAAAAAUCCACUAGAAUCUCAUCAGGCCCCGUCGCCCUACCCCUACAUAUCCUGCAAACCGCCUCUUUGACCUCCUCUACCUUAAAGCGUCUACAAUACCUAAAAUCACAACACUCCUGAGAGUGCUCCAGAUUCCCUAACAUAAUAGCUCUAUCCCCUUCGUCAUUCAAUAACCUAUUAAAGUACAACUACCAUCUCAUCUUAAUGAGCCCGUCCUCCUCCAACACUCCACCAUUCUCCCCCUUAAUGCACUUCACCUGGUCGAGGUCACGACCCUUUCUCUCCCUAGCCUUAGCAAGCCUAAACAACUCGCCUCCUCAAAAUGCAAAAUUAACAAAUUAAAAAAUAAAAUAUGUUAGAUUCAAACAUAAUAAGGAUCAAAACUAGGUACUAUAAAUUUUUAUAUAUCCAACAAAAUGUACGUACUAUAAUUUUUUAAGCAUAGAAAAAUGGAAUUCAACAUCAACUUUUUCCUUCUAAAUUUUAUUUUUGUGAAUUGAUAACACAAAAAGUUCUUACUACACAAUGAAAAGAAUAACUAAAGUAAGUAGAUUUUAUAAUAAUAAUUAUCAUUCACUAGUAAUCUAUAAAAUAUUUUAACAACUACAAAGGCGUUGCCUAGUUUUAAUACACAUUAUCAUUUCACAAUCAACUCUAUUGUUCAAUUACAUAUUUUAAAUUAAAUAGUUCUUUAAUAACUUGAAAAUUGAUAUUGUAUAUAUCAAUUAAAAUGAAUUUUAAUAUUCUAUAUUAUAUGAGUAAUAUGUGUUUAAAUGAAGUGACAUAAACAACAAAUCUUCUUUUACUUUAACAAACUUAAGUUGGAAGUUUUUAAUUCAAACUAAAUAAGAUGUAGUAAGUUUUUUUUUUAAACGCACACGGUAUAAUCAUGGGAAGGCACAUGCAAAAAAAUUAAAGCUAAAUAAGAUGAAAGUUUUAUUUUUAAAAUACACAGAUAUAAACAUGAAAAUGCACACAUAAAAAAAUUAAGCUAAAUAGGAUGGAAGUUUUAUUUUUAAGAAUAAAUUUUUAAAGCUUGAAAACAAAUAUAUAUAAACAAAAAAGAAGUUAAAUAAGAUAGGGGUAUUUUGGUAAUCAAAUACUUUAUUCUUAGAAAUUAUACCAUGCAUAUUAAUUUGAAAACAACAAACCAUACAGUCAAUAAAAAAUAAUCCCAGCAUAACUAAUCCCAGUAUAACUUAUCCCAGCAUAACUAAUCCCAGCAUAACUACAUUCCCAACCAAACGACACCUUAGUUUCUAAAAGUUGUUCUGUUAUUCUGUUUUAGGACUUAGGCUUUAGGGAGAUUCUUUUAACCGAUAUACACUACGUGAGCUAUCAUAGUAUCCAACGUCUAGUUCUCCUAAGGGGAAAACCUCACGUUGGGGAGAGGUGUCAUACUCUUGUUAAGGAGUAUAACUUGAGCUAAGUGAUCACAAUUUUUACCGUAUCCAUAUACAAAUAGAAUAUAAUCAGAAUUUGUACUUAUGUUGGCUCGUAGUUCUAGGGAAUUAGGAUGCUCUAAACCCACACUUCUCUCUCGGUACUAAAUACUACUCCCUUUAAUUUGUAUGCUUAAUCUGUAGAAAAUUCACUUUAAGACUAGCAUGAGGGUUUAAUAUGAAAACUAGUUAUGAAUCUGUUUACUUUAAACUGUAAUCAAAACUAUAACAUGGAUUCCAUAUCUAAACUGAGGAUCAAAAGAUCAAAUCUUGUUCAAAAUCUGAGUAUAAACUAAUCAUAUGAUUCCUAAAAGCAUAAUCUUUUUAAAAUAUCAAUAUUAAAACUUGAGCUUAAUAACCCAUGCUUUAAACUCAUGUCAAAUCCAAAUAAUACUUCAUGCUCAAUAAUCUUCUUGAAAUACUUUAAUAAUUUCAGUCAAGAUAAUAAAUCAUAAUUAAAAUAUGAAUCUUAUGGAUCAAAACAUGAGCAUGCAAAAUCUUGAUGCACUAAAGCCUUUGAAUCUCAUGCUUUCUUUCAUAUAACUUGCAACAUAGUAUCAUGCUUAAAUGUUAAUUGAAAAUCUUUAAAUCAUUCAUAAAUAGAGGAGAACAAGCAUUCACUUUAACACUUAAAUCACUUUACAAAUCCAUAAACUCAAAACAAGAUAAGUUGGGUAUGUACCCUAAUUGAAAUAUAUGUAAAUUCAACUUUAAAACUAGUUUUAGGCACAAGGAUGAAAGUGUAUUCUUGAAGUUUAUUCUUGAGCUUUUUGAACCCGAAAGAUUUUAUUAUUAACUUUCUUGGAGAAAAUUUGGUAGAGUUCUUGGUGUUCUUGAAGGGGCUAGGGUUUUCUUAGAGAGAAAGAGAUGAAUUAUGAUGUAUCUAAUACUUUUGGGGUUGAAAUUAAGUGUUAUGAAUGAAUUUGGAUGAGGGAAAGUGAACAAAGUACCCCUAGACCCUUUAGGAACUUAAAUAGCAUGUGAACCAGUUCCGUAAUACAAUUGCCAUCAAGUUGUGCCACUAAUCAUAUUGAUGACCGACGCGUCGCAUCCCAAUCAUGUUGCUUGCUACCUUACACAGAAAAUGCCAUAACUUUUCGCUUGGGUUUUAUAUUAAGGCAAAAUUGGUAUCGUUGCAAAGAUAAUUCAAUUAUCUACAAUUUGGUGGGUCUUGAGCUACAAAAUUCUGCAUAUAUAAAAGUUAUACAUGUUAAAGUAAACCCUUGUAUAAUUGAAUACCAAACUUUGGACGAAUCAAAGGCUCUAAGCUCAACUUUGUUCUAAGUAAUUCUUAUGAAUAUUUUCACCUCGAAAGCACAUCAAACACAAGGAUAAAUAUCAUGAAAUUUAUACUCACAUGGUAAUAAUUUGGAUUUUAUCUUAUACAUGUAGGAACAAUGGUUCAAAGACUAGCCUGAAAAUGUGGGGUAUUAUAAGUGGUUGAUUUUAUUUAGAGAUUAUUAUCUAAUUAUUACUAUUUUGUCUUAUUAAAUGGAUAGUUUGUGGGUUUUUUUCACUCUACUAGAGGUGUCAAUCAAGGGUACCCUCUUUCACCUACAUUAUUUAUUUUAUCAGUAGAGGCGUUGACUAGAGCUCUUUACUAGUUUUCAAAGACUAGUCUUUUAUUGGUUUUUGUAUACCCAAAUGAAGUCCUGAAUUGAAUCAUCUUGCAUAUGCUAAUGAUAAAAUAAUUUUCACUUCUUCUAACGAAUACCCUAUUAAGAAGAUUAUGCAUAUUUUGAAUGAAUAUUAGUUAGAAUCUGGUCAAAUUAUUAACAGGGAAAAGAGAUUUUGUUAUAUGCAUUAUAAUUCUUUGACAAGUGUUGUGAUGUAUGUUGAGCAGGACAGUGGAAUGAGCAGAGAAAGUUUUCCUUUAAAAUAUCUUAGUUGUCCACUAUCUUAUUCCAAGAGGAAGAAGGGACAUUAUUCUAAACUGAUUGAUAAAGUUCAAAAUAAGCUAAAAAAAUAGAAGGGUAGAUUGUCAUCUUUUGGUGGAAAGGAAUUUCUUAUUAAAAGUAUUUUGCAGAGUAUUCCUAUUUAUACUUCUUUAUUAUUACAUACCAUAUACUGUGCUUGUGUUUUCUAUUUCCUGCUGUUGCUUGAUUACCAUCGUUUUGUGUUUUUUUGGGAGUUGUGGCUGUAGGAAUUCAUGCUAGGAUAGGGUCAUGUCCAAGGGGGUUGGGGAGGAGGCCUGUGUUGAGGGUGGGGGAGAAGAGAAGAACAAGUAAGGGAGAGGGGGUUAGGCCCAAUGUUCGAGGUGGUAAAGGUAGGGUUGCUAGAGUUGAUAGGCUGUGGGUUGGGUCUUGGAAUAUAGGUACUCUAUAGGGUAAGUCUAUAGAUCUAGUGAAGAUUAUUAGAAAGAGGAGGAUCAAUAUUGUGUGUGUGCAGGAGACUAAGUGGGUAGGGUCUAAGGCUAGGGAUGUAGAUGGUUACAAGCUGUGGUACUCUGGUAGUGAGAGGCAGAGAAUAGAGUUGGAAUCUUAGUAGAUAAAGAUCUUAGAGGGCAGGUAGUGGAGGUUAAGAGGAUCAACGAUAGGUUGAUAACUGUUAAGUUAAUCAUUGGGGGGCCUACUUUGAUCAUGUGUAGUGUUUAUGCACUACAAAUGGGCUUGGAUUGGGAGGAGAAGAUGCAGUUUUGGGAGGCAUUGGAUGAGGUGGUGAGAGGAGUGCCCAGUUCUGAGAAGAUUAUUGUAGCAGGAGAUUUCAAUGGGUAUAUUAGGGCGUUACCGGGAGGCUUUGGCGAUGUGCAUGGAGGUUUUGGUUUUAGGGAGAGAAAUGAGGAGGGAACUGCUCUGUUGGAUUUGCGAGGUCCUUUGGGUUGGUAGUGGUGAAUUUGAGCUUCUCAAAGAAGGACGAGCACCUAAUCACCUUUCGAAGCGCUAUAGCCAAGAUACAAAUUGACUUUUUGUUGCUUAGAAAAGGGGAUAGGGUGUUGUGUAAGGAAUGUAAAGUCAUCCCGAGUGAGAAUCUUUCACCCCAGCAUAGGCUCUUGGUGAUGGACUUAGGUAUUAAGAAAGAUAAGAAGAGAAGGGGUGAGGAGGGUAGACCUAGAAUUAAGUAGGGCGUCCUUACGUCGACAAAUGUGAGGGAGAUAGGGGAGAAGGUAGCGGGAAUAGGGGUGUGGGAGUGUAGGGGGAACGUGGAUGGUACGUAGGAUAGGGCAGCUAGGUGCAUUAGGGAGACUGCUAGUGAGGUGUUGGGUAUUUCUAGGGGUUGUGCCGGCCAUCGUUGGGGGUAUUAGUGGUGGAAUGAAGAAGUUAGAAAGAAAGUAGAGACUAAGAAGAGGACGUAUAAUAAGUUGGGUAAGAGUAGGGAUGAAGAUGAGAAGCGGGAUAAUAGGGAGGAGUACAAGAUAGCUAGGAAGGAGGCUAAGUUAGCAGUCACAGCGGCUAAGAUGGCAGUGUUCGAGAGCUUGUAUACGGGGUUAGAGGAGAAAAGAGGGGAAAAGUUAUUUUGGCUUGCUAAGGCUAGGUAGAGGAAGGGUCGUGACCUCGACUAGGUGAAAUACAUUAAAGGAAAGGAUGGUAGAGUAUUGGUAGAGGAUGGUCACAUUAAAAAGAGAUGGCAGUCGUACUUUGAUAGGUUAUUGAAUGAAGAAGGGGAUAGAGUUAUUAUUUUAGGAGAGCUAGAGCACGUAGAGGAGUGUCGUGAUUUUAGUUAUUGUAGACGUUUUAAGGGAGAAGAGGCCAGAGAGGCUAUUCAUAGGAUGAGUAGGAGUAGGGCGACGGGGCCUGAUGAGAUCCCUGUGGAUUUUUGGAAGUUCUCUGGAGAGGCUGGCUUAAGGUGGUUGACUGAAUUAUUUAACGACAUUUUCAAGUUGGCGAAAAUGCCCAAGGCUUGGAUAUGGAGUACUAUGAUCCUUCUUUAUAAGAAUAAGGGUGCCAUUCAGAGUUACAAUAACUAUAGAGGUAUUAAGUUACUAAGCCACACUAUGAAGAUUUGGGAGAGAGUGGUCGAGUUGAGGUUGAGGAGGUUGUGGCUAUCUCGGAAAAUUAGUUUGGAUUUAUGCCUGGGUGCUCGACGACGGAGGCAAUUCAUCUGGUGCGGAGACUGAUGGAAUAGUAUAGGAAAAGGAAAAGAGAUCAACAUAUGGUAUUUAUCGACUUGGAGAAGGCAUACGACAAAGUCCCUAGAGAGGUGCUUUGGAGAUGUUUGGAGGUGAGUGGGGUACCGGUGGCGUAUAUUAGAGAAAUCAAGGACAUGUAUAAUGGAGCUAAGACUCAGGUGAGGACGGCGGAAGGAGACUCAGAGUAUUUCCCUGUCUUGAUGGGGUUGUAUCAGGGUUCCACUCUUAGCCCAUUUUUGUUUUCUUUGGAGAUGGAUGUGUUGACGCGGCGUAUUCAAGGAGAGGUGCCUUGGUGUAUGUUUUUUGCAGAUGAUGUAGUUUUGAUUAAUGAUAUGUGGGGGGGGGGGGGAAUGAUAAAUUAGGGGUGUGGAGACAGACCCUUGAGUCUAAAGGGUUCAGGUUGAGCAGGAGCAAGAUAGAAUAUUUGGAAUGCAAGUUUAAUGACGUGAAGGAGGAAGAUGAGGUGGUAGUAAGGUUGAAUUCCCAGACGGAAUGUAAAAGGGAUAGUUUUAAGUAUUUGGGGUCCAUGAUUCAGGGGAAUGGUGAGAUUGACGAGGUUGUCUCCCAUCGUAUUAGAGUGGAAUGGAUGAAGUGGAAGCUCACCUCGGGGGUGUCGUGUGAUAGGAAGGUGCCGCCCAAGCUUAAAGGCAAAUUCUACAGGGUGGCAGUCCGGCCGGCCAUGUUGUACGGAGCGAAAUGUUGGCUAGUCAAGAACUGUCACAUUUAAAAAUUGAAAGUGGAAGAAAUGCGGAUGUUGCAUUGGAUGUGUGGGCUUAAUAGGGGUGAUAGAGUUCGAAAUGAGACUAUUCGGGAAAAGGUUGGAGUGGCUUACGUAGAGGAAAAGAUGCGGGAAGUCCGAUUGAGAUAGUUCGAGCAUGUGAUGAGGAGGGGAACGGAUGCCCUAAUUCGUAGGUAUGAGUAGCUUGGUUUGGAUGAUUUCAGGUGGGGUAGGGGUAGGCUGAAGAAUUACUGAAGAGAGGUGAUCAGGUGGGACAUGGAGUAGUUACAACUUACUGAGAACAUGACCCUAGAUAGGAAGAUUUAGAGGGCGUGAAUUAGGAUAAAAGGCUAGUGCCAUUUUGAGUUGUUGGGGUAGGACAUUACUUGGUAGACGUAUUAUUCUUGCUAAGACUCUUUGUUGUAUACUUUAUUACGAAUGUGUUUACCAUUUUUGUUUAUUAUCCCUUGUGGGUGGCAUAUUUUUGUCUUGACAUCUUGGUCCAUGCUUUAUUAAGUAUUUGUCUAUUAUUCCUUCUCUUUAGCUGAGGGUCUAUCGGAAACAACCUUUCUACUUCUCUUGAAGUAGUGGUAUAGCUAUAUGGGAAUACACUGGGUUUGUUGUUUUUGUAUUCCUAUUUAUUCUCUAUCAGCAGUGGUUCCACCUAAAAGUGUUUUCAAGAAGCUGCAAAGAAUAGUUGUAAGUUUUUUCUGGCAAACUAAGGAAACAGGGAGAAACAAACAAACAUUGGGCCACUUAGAAUAAUUUAGCUUUACCCCAAAAAGGAUGGUUGGGUUUUAGAUCUAUUUCUGAAGUAGCUAAGGCAAUGCAUGCUAAACUUUUGUGGAGAUUGAACUUAGAAUAAUUUGUGGGUAGAUUAUAUAUGGAAAAAAUAUUAUAAAAAGCAAUUAGCAACAGUGGUGUAAUGGAGAGGGGGUCACAAGUAUGGAAAUCAGUGCUAGAAAUUAGAGAGAAAAUGAAGGAAUUUAUAUGGUGGGAGCCUAUAGGUGGAACUUCUAUAGUGUGGUUUGAUAAUUGGACUAAUACUGGUCCUUUAUUCGAACAACACUCUAAAGUUCUUACUUGUCAUCCUCUAUCUGAUAUUGUGAACUUUCUUACUGAAGAGGGGUGAAAUUAUGAUAUUAUGAGGGAUGAAAUACCAACUCAUGUUGUUGAGCAUGUGAGAAACUAUAUAAACAGUGUAAGCUAUGAAGAUAAGAGGGAUAAACUAUGGUGGACUUGAGAUUCUAAUGGAAAGUUUCCCACAAAGAGUGCUUGGGAAUCUAUAAGAACAAAAGAAGUAGAGGAUGAAGAUCUUAACACCUUAUGGAGUAGAGGGAUACCAUUUAAAUUCAGCUUCUUGGCAUGGAGAAUAUGGAAGGGUUUGAUCCCAGCUGCUGCUUUAUUACAUAGCUGAAAUACUGAGAUCUCUGAAGAAUGUUUUGUGAAAAUCUCAGAAGAGAAGUAAUCUCACAUCUAUUUCUUAAAGGAGAAGUUGCUAAGAAAGUUUAGCAGUAUUUCUAUGUAGGUGCCGAAAUUAUGAGCAAAGUCUAAACUUGAGGCAAAGUAUCAGAAUAUGGAGAAAAAAAGAAGGGAACUAUAACGUAACAAUUGUCUAUAAAGUGGUACCAAUUGUCAUUCUAUGGUUUUUGUGGAAAAGAAUAAAUACUAUUAGGCAUGGAGGAUCUUAUUCUAUUAGUAAGGUUUUCUUGGAGAUUACUGAUUCUAUUGUGAAAUUUAUAAAAGUGAGGUUUAAUAUUGAUAUUAACGGUAGAGAUUAGGUUAGAAUUUUGGAUGAAUUACAAACAUCCAGAGGUGCUACUUCUUUUAAGAUGAUCAAUUGGAAACCUCAUGAAGCUGGGUGGCUUAAAUGUAACACUGAUGGUGUUUCAAAAGAAAAUCCAGGUCCUAGCUCUAUUGCUUUCUGUAUAAGGGAUCAACACGGUAAUAUUUUUGUAGCUCAGGGCAACAGAAUUAGAGAUACUACUAGUCUGGAGGUAGAAGCAAUGGCUAUUAGGGCAUGUCUAAUUUAUUGUAGAAGGAAAUAUAUUUUUCAACUUAUACUAAAAAGUGAUUCAUGGAUUAUGGUUAAGAUACUGAAUGCACAAUGGGAGAAACCUUGGAGUUUGGUUAUACUGGUUAAGUCCAUCACGACAUUGAUGGAAAGUAUAUCAGUUAGGGUGAUACAUUCCCAUAGGGAAGGUAACACUCUAGCAGACUUUCUUGCUAACUAGGUGUUUACUUGUGCAGGUGAAUUUCAUUAUAAUAAUGUAAAGCAAUUACCAAAAAAAGGCAAAGCUAUAUACAAAUUAGACAAAGCAGGAACUCCAAAUAUAUGAAGAUUAGUGCAGGUAGGUAGACUACUAAACAGUAACAAUUGCUACAAUAGGUAGUACCAAUUCAAUGCAGGAACAGGGAACAAUCUUUUUUAAAUAGAUAUAGAAGGGUAUAGGAAUAGUAAAAGAGAAAGAUUCAAGAAGCACCUGAUAUUAUCAAACUCUAGUAUACUGUUGGGAAGGUGUUAACAUGUAGCUUUAGAUUAAACCUAGACAUAUAACAAUCAUCAGGAGGUAAUUAGAUUAUGAAUUCUAUAUCAACAAUUUACCACAGAGAUGAUAAACCGACUGUUAGAAAAGAAUUCUAUUAAACAUCUAACCCACAUCCAGUGAGAUUCAAGGAUGUCAAGGGUUAUGGUGUUCAAACAGUUGGAAUAUCAAUCUAAAGUGGUAUUUUUAGAUGUAUUUAGUAAUAAUCAUCACAAAGCAAUUGAUCUAGAUUUUUUUUCACUAAUCGAUAGUAAGAUGGUGGUAUUAGUUUCUAUGAAAAUCAACCGAUUAACUACUGAUUAACGGAAGGGAAGUCCAAGAACUUAGCUUUUAUGAACCAUGAAGAUGAUGAUUGUAAGUAGGUGAUCAACGGCAGCUGCAUGGUAUCUCAACGGAGGGCCGACGAAUGGUUGAUGGAAAUCCGAUAAAGGCAGAGGAAGAGCAAGAGAUGGAGCUGAGGAAAAUGUUUCCUAAUUUGACCUAUAGAUUUUUUUUUUGAUUUUUUUUAUGGAACUGAACCCGAGUCGACCAUUUGGUCCUGAUUUGGGUUAUAUGAAUCAAUUUUAAUGUUUUUUUUUAAUAAAAUGGGCAUUCAGGUUGAUUUGAUUUAAAAAAAAGGCGUGGCAUUUGAGGUUCUCUAUAAUAAGAUAGUGCUAAUUGUCUUAAGUGCAGAUCUCCUUACUUCUUAUUGUGAUGUUGUCUGAAGAGAUAUACGAGUUACAUUUCUUCUCUGAGAUUUGGUCCCAAAACACAUGUAAACAUCAAAAACUUAACAAUGCAGUACAUAAAAUGAGUA